GAUGAAGAACGCAGCGAAAUGCGAUAAGUAAUGUGAAUUGCAGAAUUCAGUGAAUCAUCGAAUCUUUGAACGCACAUUGCGCCCGCCAGCAUUCUGGCGGGCAUGCCUGUUCGAGCGUCAUUUCAACCCUCAAGCUCUGCUUGGUGUUGGGGCCCUACGUCUGACGUAGGCCCUCAAAGACAGUGGCGGACCCUCUCGGAGCCUCCUUUGCGUAGUAACUAACGUCUCGCACUGGGAUUCGGAGGGAAUCUUGCCGUAAAACCCCCAAUUUUACAGGUUGACCUCGGAUCAGGUAGGAAUACCCGCUGAACUUAAGCAUAUCAAUAAGCGGAGGA
This 335-nucleotide unclassified non-coding RNA is filed under the name soil metagenome. RNAcentral describes it as "partial contains 5.8S ribosomal RNA, internal transcribed spacer 2, and large subunit ribosomal RNA". The stretch from base 1 to 120 matches the Rfam family "5.8S ribosomal RNA", at positions 35 to 154 of the family's 154-position model. The record is from RNAcentral.